This 351-nucleotide unclassified non-coding RNA is filed under the name uncultured fungus. Its description in RNAcentral is "partial contains small subunit ribosomal RNA, internal transcribed spacer 1, and 5.8S ribosomal RNA". The stretch from base 1 to 73 matches the Rfam family "Eukaryotic small subunit ribosomal RNA", at positions 1759 to 1831 of the family's 1831-position model. Lineage: Eukaryota; Fungi. The record is from RNAcentral.
UCAAACUUGGUCAUUUAGAGGAAGUAAAAGUCGUAACAAGGUUUCCGUAGGUGAACCUGCGGAAGGAUCAUUACUGAAUUAACGGAGUUGUUGACGCUGGUUCUUCGGAGCAUGUGCUCGCAACUCCAAAUUCACCCUUACCACCUGUGCACUUUUGUAGACUACAAUGACUCUCAACGAGCAAUCGUUGGAUGGAGGGACUUGCGUUUAGCUGUCCUUCAAUGUUGUAGUCUAUUACAUCUCCAUAUACAAAGUCUUAGAAUGUCUCUUUUGUGGGUCUUUCGACCUAUAGAAACUUAUACAACUUUCAACAACGGAUCUCUUGGCUCUCGCAUCGAUGAAGAACGCAGC